Molecule: long non-coding RNA, 199 nt
Filed under: Lathyrus oleraceus (garden pea)
Lineage: Eukaryota; Viridiplantae; Streptophyta; Magnoliopsida; Fabales; Fabaceae
Description: Pisum sativum (pea) long non-coding RNA (PSAT_LNC023582)
Source: RNAcentral
UGCCACGUCAAUUAAUGAAUCAAUCCAGCGCUCCUGGUUUUUUGUUAUUUUUUAUUUUCUGUUUUAUUUUCUUUUAAUUCCUUUUUAUUUCAGAAAUUCAUAACUAUUUUAUUUGAAGUCACAAAAAUAUGAGACCAAUGGCAAAAAAUUUCUUGAAAAAUCUAGCUUCAUAAUCUGAUUUUUAAUUAUUUUUGUGACU